GGGCCCGCACAAGCGGUGGAGCAUGUGGUUUAAUUCGAUGAUACGCGAGGAACCUUACCAGGGCUUAAAUGUAAGUUGCAUAGAUCAGAGAUGGUCUUUUCUUCGGACUACUUACAAGGUGCUGCAUGGUUGUCGUCAGCUCGUGCCGUGAGGUGUCAGGUUAAGUCCUAUAACGAGCGCAACCCCUGUCGUUAGUUACCAGCAAGUAAUGUUGGGUACUCUAGCGAGACUGCCGGUGCAAACCGUGAGGAAGGUGGGGAUGACGUCAAAUCAUCACGGCCCUUACGUCCUGGGCUACACACGUGCUACAAUGGCCGGUACAGAGAGCAGCCACUACGCGAGUAGGAGCGAAUCUUCAAAGCCGGUCUCAGUUCGGAUCGUAGGCUGCAACUCGCCUACGUGAAGGCGGAAUCGCUAGUAAUCG
This 424-nucleotide ribosomal RNA is filed under the name uncultured bacterium. Its description in RNAcentral is "bacterial SSU rRNA". It matches the Rfam family "Bacterial small subunit ribosomal RNA", at positions 917 to 1344 of the family's 1533-position model. The record is from RNAcentral.